RNAcentral lists this long non-coding RNA (3610 nucleotides) under Salmo salar (Atlantic salmon). RNAcentral's name for it is "lncRNA (ENSSSAG00000097840.1, ENSSSAG00000102005.1)". Lineage: Eukaryota; Metazoa; Chordata; Actinopteri; Salmoniformes; Salmonidae. The record is from RNAcentral.
GAAUUUGGCCUUAUUCCUAUUAGCCCAUAGAAACGUAUUGAAUAACAUAUUCAUACAUGGCAAAACAGAUAGUCAAAACAUUUAUUGAAAUAAAGUAUAUUUGGGCCUCUCGAGAGGCGCAGAGGUCAAUGGCACUGCAUUGCAGGGCUAGAGGCAUCACUACAGACCCAGGUUCAAUCCCGGGCUGUAUCACAACUGGCUGUGAUCGAGGGUCCCAUAGGGUGGUGCACAAUUGGUCCAGCAUCAUCUGGGUUAGGGGAGGGUUUGGCCGGGGGGGCUUUACUUGGCUCAUCGCGCUCUAAGGACUCCUUGUGGCGGGCCGGGCGCCUGCAGGCUGACCAUGGUCAUCAGGUGAACAGUGUUUCCUGACACAUUGGUGCGGCUGGCGAGCGGGUGUUAAGAAGCGCGGUUUGGCAGGUCGGAGGACGCGUGAUUCGACCUUCACCCCCCCCGAGCCCUUUGGGGAGUUCCAGCGAUGAGACAAGAUUUACAUUUGGGAGAAAAAAGGGGGUAAAAUACAAAAAAAUUAAGUCUAUUUUGCAGUGUCUGUCCUAUAGCUCAGGGUUAUUAUGAUCUGUUUCUAUCCAUUUUUAACCACUUUUUUGGCACUAAAGUACUUCCAUGCUUCCAUAAUUUUUUUUAAACUGGUACUGGGUUACCUUUAGGCAAGUUUUGUGAGGCUUGUGGGCAUCGUAGAGCCCAAACCGUUCAGACACUACAGAUGUUUUCAUGAUGUCUCCUGGUCUGACAAACAUCGCUGUACCUCUGCCACCUUCCACCGCAGAUGGGGAAGGCCGACAUGAACAGAUAUAUCUAGUUUAAAUAGACAGAUUUUGAUUGGGAUUUUUGUUAUUAUGCUAAUUACAUUUCUGCGUGGGCGGUUAAAAACAGGCUUUAAAACAUUGAUAAGAGGGAGGUUGAAGUGUCUGUGUGUGUGCCUGUGUCACCGACUAGCUAUCCCUAGUGAUUAAUCCCAUCAGUGGCCUCCUACCUUUCAGCCCCAUGGUGCAGCAGGUUAGGGUAUGGCUCACCGUGGGAUCAGAUGGAUCAGUGGGUUAAACGCUCAUCUCAGAUUUCUGCUUGGUGCUGGAACAUCAAUAUUGAUGUCCCACAGUGGCACACCUGUCCAUGUCACAGCGCCCCACCUGUCCAUGUCACAGCGCCCCACCGGUCCAUGUCACAGCAUCACACCUGUCCAUGUGGAUGCCUCAAAGGGACAGCCCUGUAGCAUGGUCAGUUUUCACUGCUGUCACAGCCUGACUGCACCCUGCACCUGAUCUGCCAGCCACAGGGUCCAGACCUAACCAGUUACCACAGACCUCCACUAGGCUCUAUGGCCUUUAUAACGGUGAAGGUUUAUCCCUGCCUUUUUAGUUGACAUUGUCCUAAAUCUGAGGAGACAAAACUUCAGAGCAGGGAUUCACUUUUGACAGGUUAAGAUAACUGAGAUAUUACUUUUUUUUUGAGCUACAUGUCCCUACAAAGUAAGAAUAGAGGUUAUCAAUAUUUUUCAGAGUACUUCAAUUGAAAAUUCUCACAAUUAUUGCCAGAUAGAACUAUAUGUUAGAGGUGGUGUGACGAGGUGUAUAGUUUGAGGAGGGUCUGUGUGUUCAAGUUUUGUAACAGAGUCUUUUUUAUUUAAUUGUAUUUAAUUCAAGUCCAUGCUCCCCAAAUGGCACCACACAGCUAAGGAACAGGGACCAGACUUCAGUAUGUCUGAUGAGUAAGCUGCAGCUACAGCAGGCUGUGGUGUUAGUGGGUCAGGUGGUCAGCCUGAGGUGGUCUUAGUGGGUCAGGUGAUCAGCCUGAGGUGGUGUUAGUGGGUCAGGUGAUCAGCCUGAGGUGGUGUUAGUGGGUCAGGUGAUCAGCCUGAGGUGGUGUUAGUGGGUCAGGUGGUCAGCCUAAGGUGGUGUUAGUGGGUCAGGUGGUCAGCCUGAGGUGGUGUUAGUGGGUCAGGUGAUCAGCCUGAGGUGGUGUUAGUGGGUCAGGUGAUCAGCCUGAGGUGGUGUUAGUGGGUCAGGUGGUCAGCCUGAGGUGGUGUUAGUGGGUCAGGUGGUCAGCCUGAGGUGGUGUUAGUUGGUCAGGUGAUCAGCCUGAGGUGGUGUUAGUGGGUCAGGUGAUCAGCUACCUAUCAUUCUUUAUUCAUUAGUCUGGUUCUACCCCAGAACACAGUGUGUCUGAGGUCCCACUUGAGUCCCCCUGCACAUUUGAAGGAUUCCCUUAUCCUACCCUUACCUUUCGGCACACCUCCUCAUAUUAAAUCCUCUGGUGUGGCCUGGGUGGUCUAGGGGUCAGUGCCACCACAUAUAGCAAACAAAGACCAGCAUCAACAUGGGUUCAAAUCCCCCACUUCCUAUGUGACGCACUGUCUCCUCCAUUAAACUCAUACUUUCUAUGACGCACUGUCUCCUCCAUUAAACUCAUACUAUCUAUGUGAUGCGCUGUCUCCUCCAUUAAACUCAUACUUUCUAUGAUGCACUGUCUCCUCCAUUAAACUCAUACUGUCUAUGUGACGCGCUGUCUCCUCCAUUAAAAAAUCAUAUUGUCUAUGUGACGUGCAGUCUCCUCCAUUAAACUCACACUGUCUAUGUGACGCGCUGUCUCCUCCAUUAAACUCAUACUUUCUAUGACGCACUGUCUCCUCCAUUAAAAAAUUCAUACUUCCUAUGUGACGCACUGUCUCCUCCAUUAAACUCAUACUGUCUAUGUGACGCACUGUCUCCUCCAUUAAACCCAUACUGUCUAUGUGACGCACUGUCUCCUCCAUUAAACCCAUACUGUCUAUGUGACGCACUGUCUCCUCCAUUAAAAAAUCAUAUUGUCUAUGUGACUUGCGGUCUCCUCCAUUAAACUCACACUGUCUAUGUGACGCGCUGUCUCCUCCAUUAAACUCAUACUUUCUAUGACGCACUGUCUCCUCCAUUAAACUCAUACUGUCUAUGUGACGUGCGGUCUCCUCCAUUAAAAAACUCAUACUUUCUAAUAACCCCUUUUACUGGUCAGGACGUGACAACUGUCUAUGUGACGUGCGGUCUCCUCCAUUAAAAAAUUGCAUUGUCCCCACAAUAAGUUGGAGAAGUUGAAAUAAAACCAUUUAUUUCAGUGAGGCAAAGGACCACCUGUCAUAGUGGAUUUAUAGUGACUGUAAACAGGCUAAGUUGUAUCAACAGUGUAAUGUAAACUACAGGGUUUUACUGAGUCUAAGGCUCUCAGGACACGGGCUGUUUCAGAAAUGGCAGCCUAUUCCCUAUGUUGUGCACGUAUUUUGACCUGGGCCCUGGUCAACAGUAAUGCACUACAUUGGGAACAGGGUACCAUUUCAGACUCAACCCUGGUUGCUCUGGUUGUUCUCACACACACACACACACACACACACACACACACACACACACACACACACACACACACACACACACACACACACACACACACACACACACUUAAAGUAGCAACCACGUAGUAGACCUUGUCUGGUACCUGCUAGUGGUGAAGGAGAACAGGCUACAGAGGUAGACAGGGAGUUUACCCAGAAGGGCAGAAGGAAGUACCAACAGAAGGAGGUGCCAACAGAAGGAAUUACCAACAGAAGGAAGUACCAACAGAAGGAAGU